RNAcentral lists this transfer RNA (73 nucleotides) under Rhipicephalus sanguineus (brown dog tick). Its description in RNAcentral is "transfer RNA threonine (anticodon UGU)". It matches the Rfam family "tRNA". From Rfam's summary of the family: Transfer RNA (tRNA) molecules are approximately 80 nucleotides in length. Their secondary structure includes four short double-helical elements and three loops (D, anti-codon, and T loops). Further hydrogen bonds mediate the characteristic L-shaped molecular structure. tRNAs have two regions of fundamental functional importance: the anti-codon, which is responsible for specific mRNA codon recognition, and the 3' end, to which the tRNAs corresponding amino acid is attached (by aminoacyl-tRNA synthetases). tRNAs cope with the degeneracy of the genetic code in two manners: having more than one tRNA (with a specific anti-codon) for a particular amino acid; and 'wobble' base-pairing, i.e. permitting non-standard base-pairing at the 3rd anti-codon position. The record is from Rfam by way of RNAcentral. Lineage: Eukaryota; Metazoa; Arthropoda; Arachnida; Ixodida; Ixodidae.
GCCGCGGUAGCUCAGUUGGUAGAGCAUCGAAUGUGUUAUUCGAAGGUCACAGGUUCGGUCCCUGCCCGCGGCA